Molecule: ribosomal RNA, 467 nt
Filed under: uncultured bacterium
Lineage: Bacteria
Description: partial 16S ribosomal RNA
Rfam family: Bacterial small subunit ribosomal RNA
Source: RNAcentral
GACGAACGCUGGCGGCGUGCUUAACACAUGCAAGUCGAACGAUGACGCCCGAGCUUGCUCGGUCUGAUUAGUGGCGAACGGGUGAGUAACACGUGAGCAACCUGCCCUUCACUCUGGGAUAACCUCGGGAAAUCGGGGCUAAUACCGGAUAUGAGCUCCUGUCGCAUGGCGGGUGUUGGAAAGUUUUUCGGUGAAGGAUGGGCUCGCGGCCUAUCAGUUUGUUGGUGAGGUAGUGGCUCACCAAGGCGAUGACGGGUAGCCGGCCUGAGAGGGCGACCGGCCACACUGGGACUGAGACACGGCCCAGGCUCCUACGGGAGGCAGCAGUGGGGAAUAUUGCACAAUGGGCGGAAGCCUGAUGCAACGACGCCGCGUGAGGGAUGACGGCCUUCGGGUUGGAAACCUCUUUCAGCAGGGAAGAAGCGAAAGUGACGGUACCUGCAGAAGAAGCGCCGGCUAACUACGUG